This 1064-nucleotide long non-coding RNA is filed under the name Panax ginseng (ginseng). RNAcentral describes it as "long non-coding RNA (PGIN_LNC010716)". Lineage: Eukaryota; Viridiplantae; Streptophyta; Magnoliopsida; Apiales; Araliaceae. The record is from RNAcentral.
GAUACUUUGCUAUUGGAUUUACCUGAAAUUAGGGACAAUAAAGACUAGAUAAGAAGGGAGACAAAAGAAAAGACAACGUAACACUCAACAAGAAAGAAAUAACAUUGUGGAGCCACAAGAAGGAAAACUUGCAAAAAAUUCUAGAGAUUUCUAAAAGUACAAGUUUUGAAUAUACAUAUAUUCUAUAAUAUUACUAUACAAAUUACAAAGUCUAAAGAAAAUAUAUACAAAAGUUGAGAAAUGAAAUAAAGGGUGCAAUUCUCGAGGAUAUUUCACCACUCCACAAGCUUCAUUUAUCAUGGGCAAAAGACAAAGUUUUUCAAAUUUCUCUAUACUCGCAUGCCUACCUUCAUCAUCUUUGAACAGCAAACAAUCAGUUGUGCUUGCUUGGUUAGAGGAUGUUUGGUGUGUUUUGAAAGUUCAAAAUCACUCCAAAAUUUUAUCUGUUUACAAACAGCUUAUUUUAAACCCAACUUAUUUAACUUGGGACUCAAUCGAACCGUACCAAAAAUAGUAGGGUGAGUUUGGUGUAUUUGUAUCGGAAACAAAUGCACCGCAAACGACGUUAACCAAGCAAACCCUAAGUGAGCUUCACCAUAAUCCAUAAUUCUCUUAUUUCUUUUUGUGCAAUCCACCAUAAUCAUCUUCAACGAUUGUGAAGUGGGUCUGAAGCAUUUGGCACUCUUCUUUUGCUGGAGAAGAACUCGCGCCAAUUACGUGUCACACGAUGCUGCUGCAUCCUCUGUUUCAUACCUGAUACUGCCUUCUUGUUCAUGCCAACGAGAGAAAUGGCACUCUUUUGGGACAAUGGCAGCUGAUUGGUUUCAGCCGAGACCAAGACCGAGAGAAAAACCAAGACCAUUACCUUCUGCAACAAACCCAACUGCAUUUUUGGAGAGAGAAAGAAAAUGGGGAAAUUAAAGGGAGUGGGGAAUAAGGAAGAAAGGGAUCAAGAGAAGUGAAAAUGUAAUUACGUGAGGGUUAGUGUUAUUGUGUACAUAUCCUGUAACACUUCUCACGCGGGGGACUUCUUUAUGUUUACGCGGUUAAUAUUCUAAGCAAAU